UAAAGAUUAAGCCAUGCAUGUAUCAGUACAAGCCACACUAAGGUGAAACCGCGAAUGGCUCAUUAAAUCAGUUAUUAUUUCCUGGCCGAGACAGUGAUACAUGGAUAACUGUGGUAAUUCUAGAGCUAAUACAUGCAACCGAGCCCCAGUGUCUGCUCUCGGGCAGGCCGGGGCGCUUUUAUUGGCUGAAAACCGAUGACCGCCCUCGUGGCGGUCGUUCUCCGAUGAAUCACAAUAACAUUGUGUGGAUCGUACGGUCUUGUACCGACGACGCGCCUUUCAAAUAUCUGCCUUAUCAGCUCUCGACGGUUUGCUAGUGGCUGACCGUGGCUCUGACGGGUAACGGGGAAUCUGGGUUCGGUUCCGGAGAGGGAGCCUGAGAGAUGGCUACCACAUCU
This 398-nucleotide ribosomal RNA is filed under the name Balanus glandula. Its description in RNAcentral is "SSU rRNA". It matches the Rfam family "Eukaryotic small subunit ribosomal RNA", at positions 38 to 417 of the family's 1831-position model. Lineage: Eukaryota; Metazoa; Arthropoda; Thecostraca; Balanomorpha; Balanidae. The record is from RNAcentral.